UUCUCGUGGGGUUGACGGUAGGUGGGGAAUAAGGACCGGCUAACUACGUGCCAGCAGCCGCGGUAAUACGUAGGGUCCGAGCGUUGUCCGGAAUUAUUGGGCGUAAAGAGCUCGUAGGCGGCGUGUCGCGUCCGCUGUGAAAGACCGGGGCUCAACUCCGGUUCUGCAGUGGAUACGGGCAUGCUAGAGGUAGGUAGGGGAGACUGGAAUUCCUGGUGUAGCGGUGAAAUGCGCAGAUAUCAGGAGGAACACCGG
This 255-nucleotide ribosomal RNA is filed under the name Nocardiopsis lambiniae. RNAcentral describes it as "Nocardiopsis sp. DSM 44743 partial 16S ribosomal RNA". It matches the Rfam family "Bacterial small subunit ribosomal RNA", at positions 458 to 712 of the family's 1533-position model. Lineage: Bacteria; Bacillati; Actinomycetota; Actinomycetes; Streptosporangiales; Nocardiopsidaceae. The record is from RNAcentral.